Ictalurus punctatus (channel catfish) is the source of this 58-nucleotide microRNA precursor. NCBI's taxonomy places the organism in Eukaryota, Metazoa, Chordata, Actinopteri, Siluriformes, Ictaluridae. The record is from Ensembl.
CGUGCCGGUGCGGCAGUUGGAGAAGGAGCGAUUUCCUUCUUAUGUGCGCCGGCACUCU